AUUGAACGCUGGCGGCAGGCUUAACACAUGCAAGUCGAGCGGUAGCACAGGGGAGCUUGCUCCCUGGGUGACGAGCGGCGGACGGGUGAGUAAUGUCUGGGAAACUGCCUGAUGGAGGGGGAUAACUACUGGAAACGGUAGCUAAUACCGCAUAACGUCGCAAGACCAAAGAGGGGGACCUUCGGGCCUCUUGCCAUCAGAUGUGCCCAGAUGGGAUUAGCUAGUAGGUGGGGUAAUGUCUCACCUAGGCGACGAUCCCUAGCUGGUCUGAGAGGAUGACCAGCCACACUGGAACUGAGACACGGUCCAGACUCCUACGGGAGGCAGCAGUGGGGAAUAUUGCACAAUGGGCGCAAGCCUGAUGCAGCCAUGCCGCGUGUGUGAAGAAGGCCUUCGGGUUGUAAAGCACUUUCAGCGAGGAGGAAGGUGGUGAGCUUAAUACGUUCAUCAAUUGACGUUACUCGCAGAAGAAGCACCGGCUAACUCCGUG
RNAcentral lists this ribosomal RNA (490 nucleotides) under uncultured bacterium. RNAcentral describes it as "partial 16S ribosomal RNA". It matches the Rfam family "Bacterial small subunit ribosomal RNA", at positions 30 to 507 of the family's 1533-position model. The record is from RNAcentral.